RNAcentral lists this ribosomal RNA (277 nucleotides) under uncultured prokaryote. RNAcentral describes it as "partial 16S ribosomal RNA". It matches the Rfam family "Bacterial small subunit ribosomal RNA", at positions 524 to 800 of the family's 1533-position model. The record is from RNAcentral.
UACGGAGGAUCCGAGCGUUAUCCGGAUUUAUUGGGUUUAAAGGGUGCGCAGGCGGGAGAUUAAGUCGGCGGUGAAAUUUUGCAGCUUAACUGUAAAAGUGCCUUCGAAACUGGUUUCCUUGAGUGUAGAUGAAGUAGGCGGAAUUUGUGGUGUAGCGGUGAAAUGCAUAGAUAUCACGAGGAACUCCGAUUGCGCAGGCAGCUUACUAAACUACUACUGACGCUCAGGCACGAAGGCGUGGGGAUCAAACAGGAUUAGAUACCCCCGUAGUCCCUGA